AUUGAACGCUGGCGGCAGGCCUAACACAUGCAAGUCGAGCGGAUGAAGGGAGCUUGCUCCUGGAUUCAGCGGCGGACGGGUGAGUAAUGCCUAGGAAUCUACCUGGUAGUGGGGGAUAACGUCCGGAAACGGGCGCUAAUACCGCAUACGUCCUGAGGGAGAAAGUGGGGGAUCUUCGGACCUCACGCUAUCAGAUGAGCCUAGGUCGGAUUAGCUAGUUGGUGGGGUAACGGCCUACCAAGGCGACUAUCCGUAACUGGUCUGAGAGGAUGAUCAGUCACACUGGAACUGAGACACGGUCCAGACUCCUACGGGAGGCAGCAGUGGGGAAUAUUGGACAAAGGGCGAAAGCCUGAUCCAGCCAUGCCGCGUGUGUGAAGAAGGUCUUCGGAUUGUAAAGCACUUUAAGUUGGGAGGAAGGGCAGUAAGUGAAUACCUUGCUGUUUUGACGUUACCAACAGAAUAAGCACCGGCUAACUUCGUG
RNAcentral lists this ribosomal RNA (484 nucleotides) under uncultured bacterium. RNAcentral describes it as "partial 16S ribosomal RNA". It matches the Rfam family "Bacterial small subunit ribosomal RNA", at positions 30 to 507 of the family's 1533-position model. The record is from RNAcentral.